RNAcentral lists this ribosomal RNA (253 nucleotides) under uncultured bacterium. Its description in RNAcentral is "partial 16S ribosomal RNA". It matches the Rfam family "Bacterial small subunit ribosomal RNA", at positions 524 to 776 of the family's 1533-position model. The record is from RNAcentral.
UACGGGGGGUGCAAGCGUUAAUCGGAAUCAUUGGGCGUAAAGGGCGCGUAGGCGGUCUGUUAUGUCAGAUGUGAAAGCCCUCGGCUCAACCGAGGAAGUGCAUUUGAAACUGAGAGACUUGAGUAUGGGAGAGGGAGGCGGAAUUCCUGGUGUAGCGGUGAAAUGCGUAGAUAUCAGGAGGAACACCGGUGGCGAAGGCGGUUUCCUGGACCAAUACUGACGCUGAGGCGAGAAGGCGUGGGGAGCAAACAGG